Molecule: long non-coding RNA, 201 nt
Filed under: Carica papaya (papaya)
Lineage: Eukaryota; Viridiplantae; Streptophyta; Magnoliopsida; Brassicales; Caricaceae
Description: long non-coding RNA (CPAP_LNC002061)
Source: RNAcentral
CAAAAAUUUCAAAGGAAAUAAAUCAUAAAUUAAGUGUGGAAGCAAAAUAAUUAGUUAGGGUUUACAUUCCUUACACAAUAACUUAAAGUACCAAAUAGUGCUACGAGAAUUACCAUUUUGAAGAAAAUACAAAAAGUUAAGGAAAUAAAUGAAAAAUAAAUAAAACUGGCAUCCUACUCACAACCCUCUUGUGGAUCGGGC